GGCGCCGUGGCCGAGUGGCUAGGCAGCGGCCUGCAAAGCCGCGUACAGCGGUUCGAUUCCGCUCGGCGCCU
Molecule: transfer RNA, 71 nt
Filed under: Actinomycetes bacterium
Lineage: Bacteria; Bacillati; Actinomycetota; Actinomycetes
Also listed under: 1 other name
Description: Actinobacteria bacterium tRNA-Cys
Rfam family: tRNA
About the family: Transfer RNA (tRNA) molecules are approximately 80 nucleotides in length. Their secondary structure includes four short double-helical elements and three loops (D, anti-codon, and T loops). Further hydrogen bonds mediate the characteristic L-shaped molecular structure. tRNAs have two regions of fundamental functional importance: the anti-codon, which is responsible for specific mRNA codon recognition, and the 3' end, to which the tRNAs corresponding amino acid is attached (by aminoacyl-tRNA synthetases). tRNAs cope with the degeneracy of the genetic code in two manners: having more than one tRNA (with a specific anti-codon) for a particular amino acid; and 'wobble' base-pairing, i.e. permitting non-standard base-pairing at the 3rd anti-codon position.
Source: RNAcentral